Molecule: long non-coding RNA, 2582 nt
Filed under: Sus scrofa (pig)
Lineage: Eukaryota; Metazoa; Chordata; Mammalia; Artiodactyla; Suidae
Description: lncRNA (ENSSSCG00005037878.1)
Source: RNAcentral
UUUCAGGUGUACAAUAUAGUGGUUUGAUUUCACAUAUAAGUAAUAACACAGCAGCAUCAUCUACGAUGCCAAGGUAUGGAGGCAACCCAAGUGUCCACCAGCAGAUGAAUGGAUAAAGAAGAUGUGGUAUAUAUGAACAGCAGAAUAUGAGCAAUAAAAAAGAAUGAAAUUCUACCAUUUGCAACAAGGAGGAUGGAGCUGGAGGUUAUCAUGCUUUAGUGAAACUAGACAGAGGAAGACAAAGCUCACAUGCACCUCUGCAUGUGCCAACUUACAACGAAGCAGCAAACCCCACCAUCUCCCUGAAGAGAGGGCUGCUCUUAGAGCUUCCACUCUUGCUGCCCCUCCUGGUGUCUGGGAAGAGCUAACUUCAGGCUCCUUGACUAAGAGCUCCUGUCAAAGACUGGGCUCCAGAAGCUGGGUUUAUUUUGCGGGUUUUUCUCUAGGUGGAAAAAUCACCAGGUGUUGGAAGACUAUUUGUGCUUCAUCGCAAAGUUAAAAGGAAAAAAAGGAAGUGGCAGAGUUACAUGUAAAGUAUCACCCUGGAAGGAAGGAGGGGAGGGAGGAGAUGGGACAGAGACUAUUCAUCCAACAGACUGAGACCGUCAUCUGGGUAACAAUACCCAUCAACACCAUGUAAAAAAUAAAGGUCGCCCAGAAAGUCAAACAAUUUUUCAUUGAUUUUCUUUAUAUUUUUACGUUGGGUGCUGUGUUAGAGUGAGCACUAUUGUUUGUAAUUUACUGGAUGAGACAUCAUCAUGGACACAUGGUCCAGAUAAGUGGACAGCAGGAUCCACUUGCUGGAAGUCAGGACUCUCACCAUGGGUUUCCCCGAGUUCUGACUGAGGCUGAUCAGUGUCCCCUACCCACCUGGCAGCUGUGGCUGCUCCAGGAGCAUCUUCUGCCUUCCCACAACAGCCCCAAGUAGGGGUGCGGUUCCCAUUUCCCGGGGGGUGGCAAGGAGGGCCUGGCAUUGGCUGAAGCACUGAGGCGUGUCGGCCACACCACAGGCUGCCUUACUGCCCCUCCCGCCCAGGCUGUGGGGCAUGUCCGGGGGCAGCUUGCCAUAGUGUGGGCUCUGAUUGUGACCAGAUUCCAAGAUGGGCCUGCCUCAUAGCUUUGCUCCACUCUGCCAGACCUGCUCCCUGGGCUCCGGACCACUGAGGGACAGGAUGCACGUCCACGCCAGGCAUCUGCAACAAGUCUGUGGAGUGAAUGAGUUCAUUCACAGGCACCUACACACACAGGAGGCUCCUCUCCGGCUCCUGUCCAUGCACAGGGCCACCCUUUUUGUUUUUGAUAAGCCUCAGACCUCAUGAGUAUUUAAUAAAUGUGUGGUAAAAGAAUGAGAGGAUAAGACAUAACCACACACUAACAUCAGAAUAACUGAAAGCAACAAAUAAACAUCAGCCAUCAGGGCGAGGAGGGACCUGGGUGGCCAUGGAUGGAACCUUCCAGCAGGCAAACCACAAAGCAGGACACAGGAUACGAGGGAUUCCUAUUUCCCUGAAUAUUCAGAAAACAGGUACAGAUUUUAGUACAAAGAGUCUCCAAUAUUUCCUUCCUUCUAAAAGAAAGCAGCCAUCUAUGAGUAAAGACAAAACUCUCAGAAACUGGUGGCAGAGGAUUGAAUUUGGUUGAUAUUUAUUACAAUUUUUGAUUUGUAAAAACCUUCACCUAGUAAUUCUACCUCCAAGAACUUAUUCUCGAUUCUGUUCUAGUCUCAGACAUAAAGACAUUUCCCUCUCCCCACGAAAGCUGUUACUGCGAUAACACAAAUCAGCACAAAGAUGUCAAUGUAUCCAGCACCACCUGCCCACCUGCCACAGAGCUUGCUGCUUUUUCAGAACUACAAACCUUACUAAUUUAGGAAGUCCGGGACUAUUUUUAGCAUGUUCUAGCAGCAAUGAGCAGCUGAAUUCUCUGAGGCCUGUUAGCUGUCCUCAGAGCCCAGGGGGAGAGGAAAUGCGUAUCAAGUAGAGAAGUCACGAAGAUUGCUUCUAACAAUCAGUGUGAACCUGAACUCACACAUGCAAGCAACAACCAGCAAACAGACAGGUGUGUAUUCUGGCUUGUCCAGGGGGGAGCUGCUGGACGGGGCUGGGACCCUUUCCUGCUCUUAUCCAGCAGGUCUGUGAGUGAAGCACAUGGAGGGAGCCGGCUCUCGCUCACACAGGCUCGGGCGCCUCAUGGUGUGGGGACCAACCCCCCACCCCCACCCCCAACACGGACUUGGCUCCGUGGGUUUCUGCUCCCCUCUGUGACUACAAAGCAUUUUGAGACAAAUGAGCUAAAAAUAAAGUCAAUAGCUCACAACAUAUGGAUAAAUACUGAACAAGCCGCAGAGAAAUGUCUUAAGAAGAAAAGUCAACAUGGGAUGAGAAUAACCUGCUAGAUAUGAAACUGCCACUUAUUUUCAUUGAAAAAAAAUAGGUUUCUGAAAAUUUAUUAAAAACUAGAAAACAAGGAGUUCCCAUCAUGGCUCAGCACAAACAAACCCGACUAGGAUCCAUGAGGAUGUGAGUUCAGUCCGUAGCCUUGCUCAGGGGGUUAAGGAUCCGGCAUUUCCGUGAGCUGUGGUG